UACGGAGGGGGCUAGCGUUGUUCGGAAUUACUGGGCGUAAAGAGCACGUAGGCGGUUGAUCUAGUUAGGCGUGAAAGCCCUAGGCUUAACCUAGGAACUGCGUUUAAUACUGAUUAACUAGAGGCCGGGAGAGGGUGGUGGAAUUCCCAGUGUAGAGGUGAAAUUCGUAGAUAUUGGGAGGAACACCAGUGGCGAAGGCGGCCACCUGGACCGGUUCUGACGCUGAGGUGCGAAAGCGUGGGGAGCAAAC
Molecule: ribosomal RNA, 250 nt
Filed under: uncultured bacterium
Lineage: Bacteria
Description: partial 16S ribosomal RNA
Rfam family: Bacterial small subunit ribosomal RNA
Source: RNAcentral